This 310-nucleotide ribosomal RNA is filed under the name uncultured eukaryote. RNAcentral describes it as "partial large subunit ribosomal RNA". It matches the Rfam family "Eukaryotic large subunit ribosomal RNA", at positions 40 to 350 of the family's 3401-position model. The record is from RNAcentral.
AUAUCAUUAAGCCGAGGAAAAGAAAUUAACUAAGAUUGCCCUAGUAACGGCGAGUGAAGCGGCAAGAGCCCAAACUGGAAAUCUUCACACUGCGUGUGACGAAUUGUAAUCUAUAGAUGGUUCACUCACCGGGUGAUGGCGCAGAAGUGCCUUAGAACGGGCCGCCAGAGAGGGUGAAAGCCCCGUAUGUGGUGCCAUUGCCUAACGAGUGGGUCGUCCAAGAGUCGGGUUGUUUUGUAUUGCAGCCCUAAGCGGGAGAUAAACUUCUUCUAAGGCUAAAUAUAUAUGGGAGACCGAUAGCGCACAAGUA